CGUGUCCCCUGCAUCGGCAGGCGGACUCUCAACCACUGCGCCACCAGGGAAGACCCCAAAACUUUCUUUUAUUGAGCUUUGCUGCUGUGCAGUUGUCAUGAUGAAACACGAAGAUGCCAGAAUUGUACCUCACGAUAAGGCUUUAAUUGCCAGAAGGUUCUGAAAGUGCAACAGUAAUUCUAGGUAUAGAUAUAUUAAUUUGAGUUAGUUCUCUUGCAGGGUGCCCUAUAGUUUUUGUCAUCGGGUGAAAUAGGAACAAAUGUAGGUCUGCUGGGGUCUUGACACAGUACCACAUGGACCUGGACAAAAGCAUUGUUAAGAUAGAGAAAUGAGGGAAAGAGGGAUUAAGAUCCUUGCCCCCGGUCCCAAAGUUAGAGCCAUGUACUAGAGGCUUUCCUUCCAUUAACUGAAGACUUAGGUAGAAGAAGAAUGAGAUUGGAACUCAGACCUGGACUCUUGUCCUACCUACUCUGCUUUGUGAAUUAGGGCAAGUCAUUUAACUUCUCUGAAUUUCAUUUUCCUCUGCUGUAACAGAUGCACACUUUGAACUAUUAUACUUUAUUGAAUCCUGAGUCAUCAAAAAUCCUUAAAAGGGUGCCUUCACCAUUAUCUGCUGGAUUUUCUUCCAAGCCCCUGACACUCAUUCCAUAAGUUUUGAUGCACACAUGCUGGCAGUGACAACUCUAUUGCUGCCUGGUCUGACCACACUGUAAGAUGUGGCUGAUUUCAGAGAUGUCAGAAUGUAAAAUACUGUGCAUCUUGGAAUUGAUGACAGAUCGUAGGUGAUCUCUGAGCUCCUUUUCAACCUCAGUUCUAUGACAUCUGUGACUUAAUAACAUUUUAUUGCUGGUUUAUGUAUUUUUUAAUGUAAAUGAUUCAAGAUAAAACAUAAGUUUCUUGGUAGUGGAAAAGUAAGAAUCAUGUCUGUCUUUUUCACCUCUGAAUCCCCAAUAGCUAGAACAAUGCCUAGCAUGUAGUAAAUGCUCAAUAAAUAUUUACUGAAUGAAUUAAGCAAAUCUUCAUUUCAUAUUGCAAAUACAACUUUU
Long non-coding RNA from Physeter macrocephalus (sperm whale), 1046 nucleotides. RefSeq lists it as uncharacterized. The transcript is spliced from 3 exons. NCBI's taxonomy places the organism in Eukaryota, Metazoa, Chordata, Mammalia, Artiodactyla, Physeteridae. The record is from RefSeq and is a predicted model, not a curated record.